RNAcentral lists this ribosomal RNA (335 nucleotides) under uncultured fungus. RNAcentral's name for it is "eukaryotic LSU rRNA". The stretch from base 1 to 70 matches the Rfam family "5.8S ribosomal RNA", at positions 84 to 154 of the family's 154-position model. Lineage: Eukaryota; Fungi. The record is from RNAcentral.
GUGAGUCAUCGAGUCUUUGAACGCACCUUGCACCCUUUGGUAUUCCGAAGGUAUGCCUGUUUGAGUGUCAUUAAAUUCUCAACUUCAAAAUCCUUUUUGAAGCUUGGACUAUGGAAGUUUGCUGGUAUCACUAUCAGCUCUUCUUAAAUGCAUUAGCGGAACUUUGAAGGACCAGCUUUGGUUUGAUAAUCCUAUCUAUGCCGCUGCUGUGGACCUCGUGUGUUCAGCUUCUAAUGGUCUUCGGACUGUCUCCAUUGUGAGGCAUACACUUUUAAGCUUGACCUCAAAUCAGGUUAGGACUACCCGCUGAACUUAAGCAUAUCAAUAAGCGGAGG